Molecule: unclassified non-coding RNA, 209 nt
Filed under: Hevea brasiliensis (rubber tree)
Lineage: Eukaryota; Viridiplantae; Streptophyta; Magnoliopsida; Malpighiales; Euphorbiaceae
Source: RNAcentral
UAAUCUAACCUUAUUUUACUCAGUCAAAGGAAUAAUGCAAUUCUAUUUCCUUUCUUAACUAGUGUCAAAAAAAUCCAACUUGUUUUGCCCCAAAUCAAUGUAACAACCACCAAAAUUGCCAAAAUUCUGAAAAACACCAGGGAAACUCAAAUCUUCAAAAUCUCAUUUUCAUCCUUAGAGGCAAAACAAAACUCGAAACCCUAGAAUCG